Long non-coding RNA from Neofelis nebulosa (Clouded leopard), 1900 nucleotides. RefSeq lists it as uncharacterized. Lineage: Eukaryota; Metazoa; Chordata; Mammalia; Carnivora; Felidae. The record is from RefSeq and is a predicted model, not a curated record. The transcript has 2 exons.
ACUGUACGUGGGCCGUGACCCUGUCCUUCGGGUGAGCAAAUCCAGCCAGAGUGUCAGCUAGAGCUUUGAACUGGAAAGCACUUUCGUUCCCAUCAGGCCAGGCACCUUGUAGGUGCCAAAAAAUAAAUUGCAAACCCAAUUCAACCCGGCCUUCGGUGUAAGUGAGACGUGAGUUUCACCGCAGAGAGGAGACGCCAGACAUUGCCUAUGUGCUUACUCUUCAGAAAAAAGGGCACCGGGGCUCACGUCCAGUGGGAGAGCAAAGGCUGCACCCCAGGAAGGGACAGAGGCGGAGGAGGCAGAGAAACAAGGUCUGGGGCUGAGAGCCUCAGAAUCUGGUACUGGGGUUGCCGGCUGAUGAAGGUGAGCGGGAAGUAACAUCACAUCAUUUCAAGUCUGAUCGCCACGCCGGUGGGCUUGCAGCAGCCCUCAGAACACCUCCCCCUCCACAUCUGGUUUUCACGGCGCAAGCUCCCAUCCGUUUCCUCAGUUAGCACCUUCCCGCAUUGACGGUUACUUUCAACCUUGAGCACCAUUAUUGCAUUCCCUAAGGUAUGUCCUAACGGCUGUCCCUGCAACCUACCCCCAAGAUUGCACCCUCCCAAAGUGACUGGCCUAGAACACAAACAAAAACCAAACACAACGAUGUGUUAUGGGGCUGAACUGUUUCUCCUCCCUCAACCUCCCUUUAUUGAAGCCCUAACCCCUAGUGCCUCAGAAUGUGACUGUGACUGAGAGGGUCUGUAAAGAGGUAAAUUCAAAUGAGGUCAUUAGGGUGAGCACUCAUCCCGUAUCAGCAGGGUCCUUUUAAGAAGAGGAAAUUUAGGGGUGUCUGGUGGCUCAGUCAGUUAAACGUCCAACUCUUGAUGUCAGCUCAGGUCAUGAGCUCAUUGUUCAUGAGUUUGAGCCUCUGCACUGUCAAUGCGGAGCCUGCUUGGGAUUCUCUCUCUCCCUCUCUCUCUGCCUCUCCCCCCCACCUCACCUUUUAAAUGUAUUUUCGAGAGGGGGGAGGGGCAGAGAGAGAGGGGGAGACACAGUCCAAAGCAGGCUCCAGGGUGUGACCUGUCAGCACAGAGCCUGGUGCGGGGCUUGAACCCAUGAACUGCGAGAUCUUGACCUGAGCUGAAGUUGGAUGCUCAACCAACUGAGCCACCCGGGUGCCCCUUCCCCCUCCCUUUUUAAGCGUUCUUUCUGUCUCAAAAUAAAGAAACUUUACAUAAAAAAAGAAGAAGAGGAAAUUUAGACAGACACAGAGCAAGGACAAGGUGAAGACAUCAGACAGCCAUCCAUAAGCCAAGGAGAGAGAGGACAGGAACAGAUCUUCCCUCGGCUCUCAGAAAGAACUAGCCCUGUUGACACCUCGAUCUUGGACUUCUUUCUAGACUACAGAACUGGGAGACAAACUGCUGUCUAAGCAACCUGGUCUGGUCCGUGCUACUUUGUUAGAGCAGCCCAAGCGCACUUCGUACGGUGAUUAAAUUCAGAAAGUGGACCACGACCCUCCAUGGCCAGACUCCUCUUCCCACGUCUUCUGGUUUGGCGAAGCAUGGAGGUUGUAGGAUCAGGGACGUGUCACCUGGUUUUCUAGGUGGGAACCAGGUUAAGCGACUUGUCUGAGGUUGCAUCGUCGUCUCCAGCCCGUGGGCGCCUGUCAGAGGGUCCCAGUUAGGGCAGCGCUUCUGCUUUUGGAGGAUGAGUGGGCGCUGCCCCCCCCCCCCCCCCCCGCCAAGCAUCACCCCGAGCAGCCCGCAUAGUGCUGCUGCUGCUUUAUUUCUAGGAAUCUAGUCCUGUCUUACUGUUCUAGGCUUUGCACUCCCUUCUGUUUCAAUAUUACCAUUAACGUAAUGAUCCCCAGCACCAUCAAUACAGUGGAAUAAAACGGGUGCCCUCAAAACAGGCA